UUGUCUCAAAGAUUAAGCCAUGCAUGUCUCAGUACAAGCCAAAUUAAGGUGAAACCGCGAAAGGCUCAUUAAAUCAGUUAUGGUUCCUUAGAUCGUACCAACAAUUACUUGGAUAACUGUGGUAAUUCUACAGCUAACACAUGCACACAGAGCUCCGACCGGAAACGGAAGGAGUGCUUUUGUUAGUACAAAAUCAAUCGGCGGCACGUUCGCUUGCGGACGCGUCGUCGUACAAAUUGAUGAAUCUAAAUAACUUUCUGCUGAUCGCACGGUCUAGCACCGGCGACGCAUCUUUCAAAUGUCUGCCUUAUCAACUGUCGAUGGUAGGUUCUGUGCCUACCAUGGUUGUAACGGGUAACGGGGAAUCAGGGUUCGAUUCCGGAGAGGGAGCCUGAGAAACGGCUACCACAUCCAAGGAAGGCAGCAGGCGCGCAAAUUACCCACUCCCGGCACGGGGAGGUAGUGACGAAAAAUAACGAUACGGGACUCAUCCGAGGCCCCGUAAUCGGAAUGAGAACAAUUUAAAUCCUUUAACGAGGAUCAAUUGGAGGGCAAGUCUGGUGCCAGCAGCCGCGGUAAUUCCAGCUCCAAUAGCGUAUAUUAAAGUUGUUGCGGUUAAAAAGCUCGUAGUCGGAUCUGUGUCCCGUGCCGCCGGUUCGCCGCUCGCGGUGUUCAACUGGCGAGUACGCGGGACGUCCUGCCGGUGGGCCUAACCCUUUCACGAGGGCGGCCCAAUUAUAAUCCCGUCGCGGUGCUCUUCACCGAGUGUCGAGGCGGGCCGGCACGUUUACUUUGAACAAAUUAGAGUGCUUAAAGCAGGCUCAAACUGCGCCUGAAUACUUCGUGCAUGGAAUAAUGGAAUAGGACCUCGGUUCUAUUUUGUUGGUUUUCGGAACCCCGAGGUAAUGAUUAAUAGGAACGGAUGGGGGCAUUUCGUAUUUGCGACGUUAGAGGUGAAAUUUCUUGGACCGUCGUAAGACGGACAGAAGCGAAAGCAUUUGCCAAAAACGUUUUCAUUGAUCAAGAACGAAAGUUAGAGGUUCGAAGGCGAUCAGAUACCGCCCUAGUUCUAACCAUAAACGAUGCCAGCUAGCGAUCCGCCGACGUUCCUCCGAUGACUCGGCGGGCAGCUUCCGGGAAACCAAAGCUUUUGGGUUCCGGGGGAAGUAUGGUUGCAAAGCUGAAACUUAAAGGAAUUGACGGAAGGGCACCACCAGGAGUGGAGCCUGCGGCUUAAUUUGACUCAACACGGGAAACCUCACCAGGCCCGGACACCGGAAGGAUUGACAGAUUGAGAGCUCUUUCUUGAUUCGGUGGGUGGUGGUGCAUGGCCGUUCUUAGUUGGUGGAGCGAUUUGUCUGGUUAAUUCCGAUAACGAACGAGACUCUGGCCUGCUAACUAGGCGUAUUUCCGACAUCCCGAAGGCCUCGCCGGUUUGGAGCGUUAAUUCGUAACAAGCCGUGCGUAGUUUUUACUGUCGGCGUACAAGCAAAUCUUCUUAGAGGGACAGGCGGCUUCUAGCCGCACGAGAUAGAGCAAUAACAGGUCUGUGAUGCCCUUAGAUGUUCUGGGCCGCACGCGCGCUACACUGAAGGAAUCAGCGUGUCUUCCCUGUCCGAGUGGACCGGGUAACCCGCUGAACCUCCUUCGUGCUAGGGAUUGGGGCUUGCAAUUGUUCCCCAUGAACGAGGAAUUCCCAGUAAGCGCGAGUCAUAAGCUCGCGUUGAUUACGUCCCUGCCCUUUGUACACACCGCCCGUCGCUACUACCGAUUGAAUGAUUUAGUGAGGUCUUCGGACCGGCACGCGGAGGCGUUUCGACGUCGUCGAUGAUGCUGGAAAGAUGACCAAACUUGAUUAUUU
RNAcentral lists this ribosomal RNA (1861 nucleotides) under Platerodrilus sp. UPOL VP2310. Its description in RNAcentral is "SSU rRNA". It matches the Rfam family "Eukaryotic small subunit ribosomal RNA". The record is from RNAcentral. Lineage: Eukaryota; Metazoa; Arthropoda; Insecta; Coleoptera; Lycidae.